This 1915-nucleotide long non-coding RNA is filed under the name Nicotiana tabacum (common tobacco). RNAcentral's name for it is "long non-coding RNA (NTAB_LNC019440)". The record is from RNAcentral. Lineage: Eukaryota; Viridiplantae; Streptophyta; Magnoliopsida; Solanales; Solanaceae.
CAACGUCGUGAAAAUAUAUCUCGAACCACGUUACAUCAAUGCACUCGUGGUUAUUGACAUAUCUCGACUCGGUUGAGAUUUGGAUUUGGGUCACAUAAAUGUGCACCCGAAUUAAGAAAAAUAAAUUAUUAAGACGCGCCUAAAGCAACUAACGUAGUGUUAUUUUGGGGAAGGCCGUAAAAUUCGCUAAACGGCCUGUUCCGAAUUCUAAGUAUUUUAAUAUAUACAUUUGGAGGGCCCCGCAGCUUGUGCAUUUUUGUUUAUUGAGGCUCGUCUCAUUCAUUAUUUUUAAAAGGAAUUUGCAACGUCAUGGAAAUGCAUCUCAAACCACGCCACAAUCAAUAUACCCGUGAUUAGAGACACAUUUCAAUUUCAUUGAGACUUGGAUUUGGGUCACAUAAAUGUGCACCCGAGUUUAAGGAGAUAACACUAUUAAAUACGCGCUUAAAUAGACUAUCGCGUUAUUAUUCUGGGAGGGCCGUGAGAUUUGCUAAACGACCCGUCCUGGAAACUGAAUGCUUCGAUAAUAUACUCUUAACGAGGGCCCCGCAGCUUGUGCGUUUUUAUUUGUCGAGGCUCAUCUCGUCUUUGUUUUAACAGGAUAUCCUAUAACAACUACGUUUCUUGUCGCGCUUGUCUCUACUAAUUGAAAGCAUAGAUAGUCCUAGUUAAUUAUAUGUUUGCAGGUCGUUUAUAGCAGAAUUCAGAAUGCUUAAAAAAUCAGAAACAAGGCCGCGCCCCACGGACAAGCGAACGAAUCUCGUGGGCCCAAACCCAGUUUGUGCGGGAUGGGCCAGGCUUGGGCCACUGGUUCUCCGACCAGGCACUGCUUGGUCCGUUUCAACUUGGGCUCGACCUUUAUGAGGUUGAGACCGUAAACUUGCAUUCUUUGUUCUAAAAGUGUGGUUUAUCAAUUAUAACAAAGCAGCUUAUCAAAAGGAAAUGAACUUAGCUAACAAUGGAUAGCUUUGUGCAUGACAGACAUUCAAUGACAUGCUUGAACAAAAUUGACUAAAGUUUAAUAUGUAACCUACUGCCUUGUGAAUACUUUUAACUACCAGCCCAUAUAUACAAAUUAACAUUCAAUUACCCUACAUUGAUAUUUACUAGGCAUGCAGGCUACUUCCAGUAUCCAAACAAGGAUGUAAAUUGUUAUAUAUUACAUGAUGUUUGAGGUAACAGUCUAUAUAUGAAAUAAACAUCUUCAGCUCUUCUCUUUGUAUUCAUGCUCAACUUUUCAAGUUACAUCGACACUAUUAAUCAUGUACCUGGUAUAGCAAAGCAAAAGAAUGAGGAGAAUGGUCAGCUGAAUAGUAGGCAGCAAAUACAGCGACAGCAAGUAAACAGCAACAAACACAGCAACAGCAACCAACAAUGGCACCACUAGUUCACGAACGACCAACAACAAUUUCAGACACUGAACCCACAGGUGGUCGGGCAACCAACAAACAAUCCCAGCAACAGAGUAGUGAACCAGCAGAAACAACAGAGUAUUUAAUGCAACAACACCAGCAGUUCAACAAUCACAAGCAACUCAGCAGGCAACCAACAGCAAUGGGCCAAGGCAGCUUGACCAACUUGAACUCUUAUGUAAUUUUCAGACAGUGUUUGGUUACAAUAUUCUGAGACUUUAUGUUUUUGUUUUCUCUGAAGACUAAAAAAAUGUCCAGCCCCUUUUAAGUUCUGAAACAGCUUAUUUAUAAGCCAACAACCCAGUGCAGCUAAGCUGCCUGGAUUCUGCCAAUUACAGUCUGCCCAUACCCCUUAGCUUCCCAUGCCUAAAGGCAUUUUCUUGGAAUCCUUAAUCAGCCCCCCAUGCUCUGUCUCAUUACUCUAAUCAAGGGUUAUGGGCUUAGUUAAGUAUUCAUUUAAUUCUCAUGCUCUUGUGUUUUGUUCCCCAUUAAUAGUAUUUUAA